Non-coding RNA from Gymnothorax javanicus (giant moray), 73 nucleotides. The record is from the annotation of a GenBank genome assembly. NCBI's taxonomy places the organism in Eukaryota, Metazoa, Chordata, Actinopteri, Anguilliformes, Muraenidae.
GGCACGGUGGCGUAGUGGUUUGCACUGCCACCUCACAGCAAGAAGGUCGUGGGUUCGAAUCCGGCCUGGGGCC